AGCCCUGGGAAGAGGGCCUGGGCCUCUGUGGAGCACCUACUGUGUGCUAGGUCCGAGAUAAGCAGGAGCCAGUGAAAUCCACAAGCCGGCCCCAGGGACUAGACCCUGAGCCAUUUGACUGAGGAGGUGGCAGCCACACUUCAGAGAGGGGGGAGCUUGGCCAAGGUCACACAACAGAGGGCCAGGCAGAUGGACAAGGAGCCCGCCGCCAGGAGGCGCUCAGUGCCCCAAAUAGGCCCAACUUGC
Long non-coding RNA from Talpa occidentalis (Iberian mole), 246 nucleotides. RefSeq lists it as uncharacterized. The record is from RefSeq and is a predicted model, not a curated record. The transcript has 3 exons. Lineage: Eukaryota; Metazoa; Chordata; Mammalia; Eulipotyphla; Talpidae.